UUGAUGGAUAGUAUGAAUGGUAUAACGAAUAUAACACUGUCUCAAAUAAAAAUCUUAUAAAAUUAGAAUAAUAGUAAAGAUACUAUUUUAAACUGUAAGACGAGAAGACCCUAUAGAGCUUAACUAUAACUCUUUAACAAUAAAUAAACUAGUUUAUUAUUAAAAAGAGAUAGGUAGUUUAGUUGGGGCGACUAUUUUCUAGAAUAAACGAAAAUAAACAAAAAUUAAUUAGAAAAAUUUACUGUUUAAUUAAUAAAUUUAACAGUUAUUACAAUAGGUAAUAAUGACCCGUUAACAAUUAAUAAUAAUAUUAACGAUCAAUAAAUAAAAGCUACCUUAGGGAUAACAGGAUAAUUUUGUU
RNAcentral lists this ribosomal RNA (361 nucleotides) under Zanclea sp. DA001. RNAcentral describes it as "partial 16S ribosomal RNA". It matches the Rfam family "Bacterial large subunit ribosomal RNA", at positions 1980 to 2492 of the family's 2925-position model. Lineage: Eukaryota; Metazoa; Cnidaria; Hydrozoa; Anthoathecata; Zancleidae. The record is from RNAcentral.